RNAcentral lists this ribosomal RNA (373 nucleotides) under uncultured bacterium. RNAcentral's name for it is "bacterial SSU rRNA". It matches the Rfam family "Bacterial small subunit ribosomal RNA", at positions 523 to 898 of the family's 1533-position model. The record is from RNAcentral.
AUACGGAGGGUGCAAGCGUUGUCCGGAAUUAUUGGGUGUAAAGGGUGUGUAGGCGGGAUCGUAAGUCAGGGGUGAAAGGUCACAGCUUAACUGUGACAUUGCCUUUGAUACUGCGGUCCUUGAGUGUCGGAGGGGCCACUAGAAUUCGUGGUGUAGCGGUGAAAUGCGUAGAUAUCACGAGGAAUACCAGAGGCGUAGGCGGGUGGCUGGACGACAACUGACGCUGAGGCACGAAAGCGUGGGGAGCGAACAGGAUUAGAUACCCUGGUAGUCCACGCCGUAAACGAUGGACGCUCGGUGUCGGGCCUUUUGGCUCGGUGCCUAAGCAAACGCGAUAAGCGUCCCACCUGGGGAGUACGCUCGCAAGAGUGAA